AGUGAGGUCAGCUAACCAAGCUAUCGGGCCCAUACCCCGAAAAUGUCGGUUACAAACCUUCCCUCACUA
RNAcentral lists this transfer RNA (69 nucleotides) under Varanus griseus. RNAcentral's name for it is "tRNA-Met". Lineage: Eukaryota; Metazoa; Chordata; Lepidosauria; Squamata; Varanidae. The record is from RNAcentral.